AUGAGCCUUGGUUUGAAGGGAAUGCAGUCACCUGCAGAAUGGCCUUCUAAGUCACCAUGUAGCCCACUGUGGGAAUUCCUGUGGACUGUAAACCCGGACGUGGAAUUGUUUGUGGCACAAGAUCCUGGUGGUCCUCUGAUGUCGUCACCUGCAGAACUCCUUUGCUGGCCUCCUGUUCAUCUCCAGCUGUUCCUGGGUAGAGACACUGGCUGUGCAAACAUCCUUCCAGCCACGUUAGAGUCCAUGGGAAGGCAGGAGCAUAAGGACAACUCUUCUGAAUCUACUGCUGGUGGGAAGAUGGCCUUGGUGUCGACACAUGUAAUUACAAGGUAAUUGAAUUUCACUUGAUGAUCCAUCCUCACAGGCAACUGGGAAGCAACCUGUUGGGUAUCCUGUCAAUUUCUGGAAUUAAAGGAGAGCCAGUUGACUCCCUUGUAAGGAUGCCAGGGCAGGGAAGUGGGAAAUCCAAGACAAAGCCAGAGUCAUAGAAUCCCAGAAUGGGAACCCACCCUUCACUCCCUGAACUCCCAUGGUAAUGGAGAGAAGACAAAAAACGGUAUGGUGCCCAGAAGCUCAGAGCCCUUUUUUGACAGUCUAGCAUCACAGGAGUGGCAAUAUGACUUCCCAAGCUUGGCUUAAAGGAACGCAUGUGGACAAUACCUUUCAUAAUGUGAAAACUCAUUGUCCAGCUGCUGUAUUUCAGUUCGUGGCUACUUCAUUCUGCCACCCUCCAUCACCAUAACACCAUGACCAGAGAGGUGAGGGAAGGCCUGAAGGUGCAAUUCUUGCCUUCUGUUGAGUGAAGCUUAUCUUUGGCUGUGCUCCAGAGACCGUGUGCCAUAUAAUAUCCCCACAAGUACUGAUGAGUUUCUAGGUGGUUGGAAGGGCUCCUGCCGGCUUGACUUCAUGACUAACACUUGAGUCCAUGCCUGACUGCCUUCAUGUCCAGCACUAACAGAUCAGGUACAUACCAGAGGUCUUGAGUGUCUUGCAUACCUUUGUAGCUUCAGACCCUAGAAGAGUGCCUGGCAUACAGGUACCCAAGAUUGUUGAGUCAGAGAAUGAAUGCACAUUCCAGCCAGGGAAAGGGGAUGUGGAAACCAUCUAGGACAAGAGGCUAUGCAGGUUUCCCUGUGUGGUCCUGUUUGCUAGAUAUAAGAAGACCCACGAUGUGAGAAGCCAGGACCUGGGGAACUCAUGUAAGGUAUAUAGAGGGCAGGUUAUGAAUUCAGACUCUCCUCCCUCUGCAAUCCCCAAGGUUGAUUCUUACUCAAAUUCUAAUUUAUGGUCUCCCCUUUUAAGCAUCUUUAAAUAUCAUUCAGUCAAUACCUCUCUCCUUCCAAUGCAGAAAUGCUUCCUACAAUAGUCCACACAAGUGAUCAACCAGCCUUCUGUCACAGCUGCAGUGACAGGGAGCUCUUACCUUCCAAAGCAGCUCAGUCUGUUGGGCAUGCCUCUACUACAAUGCACAGAAAUCUGCUCUGGCCAUUUCUACCUUCUGGUUCUGAGUCUGACCUCCAAAACUCUCUAGAAGCCUGAUUUACCCUGUCCCAAGUCUUAACAUUCCUUUAAAUGUUUGAUGACAGACAUCAUGCCCCUGAAUCUUUGCUUCUCAAGAGAAAUAGUCCCAGUUCUUACAACAGUUUUUUGCAUGAUAUGAUCCUUGAGACCCUUCAUUUUCUGGCCAUGUCUUGAAGCAUAAUGUCCCACUAGGGGCAGCCUUAAAGUAAAAUGGGGCUAUCUCAUGUUAUCCCCUUGACCCAGAUGAUGGUGGGAGGAGUUGGCUGAGCCAGUUGACUUUCUGUCUCAGAAGGGAUCUUUGUACAUGUGUCCACCUGCACAAAAGUCUUGGGUACCAGGGUAGUUUCUCUAUUUGGACAUCUGCUAUUCUUAUUCCUCUGGGAAAUGCCACAGGAUUGACCUGAGCCUUUUGCAGUCAACCUAUUUUAUUCCCCUUGUUUGGCAUUGACUGGCCUAAGUGGGUGCCUAGAAAAUGUUAGGGGAAUUAAUAAAUGCAUUUAGGUGCAAAACCUGGGCACAGUCAAGACUAGUCUGAGAGCAAGUGCUUAAAAAAAUUCCUGAGCCCCAAGAGCUACCUGUUUCAGUCACAUGAUGGUCUGACAGGGAUGCUGGAGUCUUAUCUCUCAUCCUUUCUGUCUGUCUGUCUCUUUCUGUUUUUUGGAGUUCAGCUCUCUUUUCCUCUCCAAGCCCUCCCUCCCUCGCUGGCCCCUUUGUCGACACUUGAUCAUUUACAUCAAGUUGACAUUCGCAGAGUUUACUCAGGGGUCUGUAAUUGUAUUCUUUCCCUGGUUCUGCAUUACCAACCAUGAAAAUGGAAUCUUAUCAUCCCUGACCAAUUUUUAAUGUACAAAAUGAUUUGGCUGAGGUUCAAAGGGAAGCACAAUUGAAAUCAGGUGAAUGAUACAUGUAGUUUUUUCAGUUGCUCCGUGCUUAGAUUUGAUUUUUUUUCCAGUAUAGCAUAGAAGAAGUAGAUUAUUUUUGCAAGUUAUAGAAGUGCAUUUCUGUG
RNAcentral lists this long non-coding RNA (2527 nucleotides) under Papio anubis (olive baboon). RNAcentral describes it as "lncRNA (ENSPANG00000049536.1)". Lineage: Eukaryota; Metazoa; Chordata; Mammalia; Primates; Cercopithecidae. The record is from RNAcentral.